UACGUAGGGUGCGAGCGUUAAUCGGAAUUACUGGGCGUAAAGUGUGCGCAGGCGGCCGAGCAAGUCGAGUGUGAAAGCCCCGAGCUUAACUUGGGAACUGCGCUCGAAACUACUUGGCUUGAGUGUGGCAGAGGAAGGUGGAAUUCCACGUGUAGCGGUGAAAUGCGUAGAGAUGUGGAGGAACACCGAUGGCGAAGGCAGCCUUCUGGGCCAACACUGACGCUCAUGCACGAAAGCGUGGGGAGCAAACAGG
This 253-nucleotide ribosomal RNA is filed under the name uncultured bacterium. Its description in RNAcentral is "partial 16S ribosomal RNA". It matches the Rfam family "Bacterial small subunit ribosomal RNA", at positions 524 to 776 of the family's 1533-position model. The record is from RNAcentral.